RNAcentral lists this ribosomal RNA (117 nucleotides) under Triticum aestivum (bread wheat). RNAcentral's name for it is "partial small subunit ribosomal RNA". Lineage: Eukaryota; Viridiplantae; Streptophyta; Magnoliopsida; Poales; Poaceae. The record is from RNAcentral.
UGGACUUUACCGAGGAUGAGAAUGGAUCAAUUAUUAAAUCUUGGAUGGAAAUUUCUUUUACCUAUUUUGCUGGGCAAUCUCUUAUUAACAACCUCUUCUCAACUUGUUUCACUAUAA